This 492-nucleotide ribosomal RNA is filed under the name uncultured bacterium. RNAcentral's name for it is "partial 16S ribosomal RNA". It matches the Rfam family "Bacterial small subunit ribosomal RNA", at positions 29 to 507 of the family's 1533-position model. The record is from RNAcentral.
AGUGAACGCUGGCGGUAGGCCUAACACAUGCAAGUCGAACGGCAGCACAGUAAGAGCUUGCCCUUACGGGUGGCGAGUGGCGGACGGGUGAGGAAUACAUCGGAAUCUACUUUUUCGUGGGGGAUAACGGAGGGAAACUUAUGCUAAUACCGCAUACGACCUACGGGUGAAAGCAGGGGAUCUUCGGACCUUGCGCGUUUGAAUGAGCCGAUGUCGGAUUAGCUAGUUGGCGAGGUAAAGGCCCACCAAGGCAACGAUCCGUAGCUGGUCUGAGAGGAUGAUCGGCCACACUGGAACUGAGACACGGUCCAGACUCCUACGGGAGGCAGCAGUAGGGAAUAUUGGACAAUGGGCGCAAGCCUGAUCCAGCAAUGCCGCGUGAGUGAAGAAGGCCUUCGGGUUGUAAAACCCUUUUAUUGGGAAAGAAAAGCAGCGGGUUUAACCCCCGCUGUUCUGACGGUACCCAAAGAGUAAGCACCGGCUAACUUCGUG